CUUCGGAGUUAGUGGCGCACGGGUGCGGAACACGUGGGAACAUACCCUUUGGUGAGGAAUAAUGUCUGGAAACGGACACUAAUACCUCAUAAUGACUUCGGUCCAAAGAUUUAUCGCCAAAGGAUUGGCCCGCGUCUGAUUAGAUAGUUGGUGAGGUAAUGGCUCACCAAGUCUACGAUCAGUAGGGGGUCUGAGAGGAUGAUCCCCCACACUGGGACUGAGACACGGCCCAGACUCC
This 238-nucleotide ribosomal RNA is filed under the name uncultured bacterium. RNAcentral's name for it is "partial 16S ribosomal RNA". It matches the Rfam family "Bacterial small subunit ribosomal RNA", at positions 84 to 339 of the family's 1533-position model. The record is from RNAcentral.